GAUGAACGCUGGCGGCGUGCCUAAUACAUGCAAGUCGAGCGAACAGACGAGGAGCUUGCUCCUCUGACGUUAGCGGCGGACGGGUGAGUAACACGUGGAUAACCUACCUAUAAGACUGGGAUAACUUCGGGAAACCGGAGCUAAUACCGGAUGAUAUAUUGAACCGCAUGGUUCAAUAGUGAAAGACGGUUUUGCUGUCACUUAUAGAUGGAUCCGCGCCGCAUUAGCUAGUUGGUAAGGUAACAGCUUACCAAGGCAACGAUGCGUAGCCGACCUGAGAGGGUGAUCGGCCACACUGGAACUGAGACACGGUCCAGACUCCUACGGGAGGCAGCAGUAGGGAAUCUUCCGCAAUGGGCGAAAGCCUGACGGAGCAACGCCGCGUGAGUGAUGAAGGUCUUCGGAUCGUAAAACUCUGUUAUUAGGGAAGAACAAAUGUGUAAGUAACUAUGCACGUCUUGACGGUACCUAAUCAGAAAGCCACGGCUAACUACGUG
RNAcentral lists this ribosomal RNA (497 nucleotides) under uncultured bacterium. RNAcentral's name for it is "partial 16S ribosomal RNA". It matches the Rfam family "Bacterial small subunit ribosomal RNA", at positions 28 to 507 of the family's 1533-position model. The record is from RNAcentral.